RNAcentral lists this non-coding RNA (96 nucleotides) under Bacillus tuaregi. Its description in RNAcentral is "Purine riboswitch". It matches the Rfam family "Purine riboswitch aptamer". From Rfam's summary of the family: Riboswitches are metabolite binding domains within certain messenger RNAs that serve as precision sensors for their corresponding targets. Allosteric rearrangement of mRNA structure is mediated by ligand binding, and this results in modulation of gene expression. The record is from RNAcentral. Lineage: Bacteria; Bacillati; Bacillota; Bacilli; Caryophanales; Bacillaceae.
AAAAUUUAAUAUCUAGCCCUCGUAUAAUAAUAGGAAUAUGGCCUAUGAGUCUCUACCCAAUUACCGGAAAUAAUUGGACUAUGGGGGAAAGUAAAU